GUGCCAGCAGCCGCGGUAAUACGGAGGGAGCUAGCGUUGUUCGGAAUUACUGGGCGUAAAGCGUACGUAGGCGGCUAUUCAAGUCAGAGGUGAAAGCCCGGGGCUCAACCCCGGAACUGCCUUUGAAACUAGGUAGCUAGAGUCUUGGAGAGGUUAGUGGAAUUCCGAGUGUAGAGGUGAAAUUCGUAGAUAUUCGGAAGAACACCAGUGGCGAAGGCGACUAACUGGACAAGUACUGACGCUGAGGUACGAAAGCGUGGGGAGCAAACAGGAUUAGAUACCCUGGUAGUCC
Molecule: ribosomal RNA, 292 nt
Filed under: uncultured bacterium
Lineage: Bacteria
Description: partial 16S ribosomal RNA
Rfam family: Bacterial small subunit ribosomal RNA
Source: RNAcentral